This 306-nucleotide unclassified non-coding RNA is filed under the name plant metagenome. RNAcentral describes it as "partial contains 5.8S ribosomal RNA, internal transcribed spacer 2, and large subunit ribosomal RNA". The stretch from base 1 to 105 matches the Rfam family "5.8S ribosomal RNA", at positions 50 to 154 of the family's 154-position model. The record is from RNAcentral.
GAAAUGCGAUAAGUAAUGUGAAUCGCAGAAUUCAGUGAAUCAUCGAAUCUUUGAACGCACAUUGCGCCCGCCAGUAUUCUGGCGGGCAUGCCUGUCCGAGCGUCAUUUCAACCAUCAAGCCCCCGGGCUUGUGUUGGGGACCUGCGGCUGCCCGCAGGCCCUGAAAACCAGUGGCGGGCUCGCUGUCACACCGAGCGUAGUAGCAAUCACCUCGCUCAGGGCGUGCUGCGGGUUCCGGCCGUUAAACAGCCUUACAAAACCCAAGGUUGACCUCGGAUCAGGUAGGAAGACCCGCUGAACUUAAGC